This 460-nucleotide ribosomal RNA is filed under the name uncultured bacterium. RNAcentral describes it as "partial 16S ribosomal RNA". It matches the Rfam family "Bacterial small subunit ribosomal RNA", at positions 338 to 795 of the family's 1533-position model. The record is from RNAcentral.
CCUACGGGAGGCAGCAGUGAGGAAUAUUGGUCAAUGGCCGAGAGUCUGAACCAGCCAAGUCGCGUGAGGGAUGACGGCCCUACGGGUUGUAAACCUCUUUUGUCGGGGAGCAAAGCGAACCACGUGUGGUUCAUUGUGAGUACCCUAAGAAAAAGCAUCGGCUAACUCCGUGCCAGCAGCCGCGGUAAUACGGAGGAUCCGAGCGUUAUCCGGAUUUAUUGGGUUUAAAGGGUGCGGAGGCGGGUGGUCAAGUCAGCGGUUAAAUUUGGGGGCUCAACCCCGGACUUGCAGUUGAAACUGGAAGUCUUGAGUACGGGAGAGGUAUGCGGAAUGCGUGGUGUAGCGGUGAAAUGCUUAGAUAUCACGAAGAACUCCGAUUGCGAAGGCAGCUUACCGGAGUGCAACUGACGCUGAGGCACGAAAGCGUGGGUAUCGAACAGGAUUAGAUACCCCUGUAGUC